GAUGAACGCCGGCGGUGUGCCUAAUACAUGCAAGUCGUACGCACUGGCCCAACUGAUUGAUGGUGCUUGCACCUGAUUGACGAUGGAUCACCAGUGAGUGGCGGACGGGUGAGUAACACGUAGGUAACCUGCCCCGGAGCGGGGGAUAACAUUUGGAAACAGAUGCUAAUACCGCAUAACAACAAAAGCCACAUGGCUUUUGUUUGAAAGAUGGCUUUGGCUAUCACUCUGGGAUGGACCUGCGGUGCAUUAGCUAGUUGGUAAGGUAAUGGCUUACCAAGGCGAUGAUGCAUAGCCGAGUUGAGAGACUGAUCGGCCACAAUGGAACUGAGACACGGUCCAUACUCCUACGGGAGGCAGCAGUAGGGAAUCUUCCACAAUGGGCGCAAGCCUGAUGGAGCAACACCGCGUGAGUGAAGAAGGGUUUCGGCUCGUAAAGCUCUGUUGUUGGAGAAGAACGUGCGUGAGAGUAACUGUUCACGCAGUGACGGUAUCCAACCAGAAAGUCACGGCUAACUAC
RNAcentral lists this ribosomal RNA (520 nucleotides) under uncultured bacterium. RNAcentral's name for it is "bacterial SSU rRNA". It matches the Rfam family "Bacterial small subunit ribosomal RNA", at positions 28 to 504 of the family's 1533-position model. The record is from RNAcentral.